UAUGGCCCUAUCACGUUGAAACACCGGUUCCCGUGCGAUCACGGAAGUUAAGCGAAGUUGAACCUAGUUAAUACCUAGAUGGGUGACCGUUUGGGAAUACCAGGUGCUGUAAG
Non-coding RNA from Acanthosepion pharaonis, 113 nucleotides. The record is from the annotation of a GenBank genome assembly. Lineage: Eukaryota; Metazoa; Mollusca; Cephalopoda; Sepiida; Sepiidae.